Zonotrichia albicollis (white-throated sparrow) is the source of this 1590-nucleotide long non-coding RNA. NCBI's taxonomy places the organism in Eukaryota, Metazoa, Chordata, Aves, Passeriformes, Passerellidae. The record is from Ensembl.
UUCCUUUCCUUUUUCCUUUCCUUUUUCCUUUUUCCUUUUUCCUUUUUCCUUUUUCCUUUUUCCUUUUUCCUUUUUCCUUUUUCCUUUUUCCUUUCCUUUCCUUUUUCCUUUCCUUUUUCCUUUCCUUUCCUUUUUCCUUUCCUUUCCUUUCCUUUCCUUUCCUCCUGCUCAGAGGGCACCGCCGAGGAGGGGUUUGGCCAUGGGAACUGGUAAGAGAAAUGCACAAUGUAAAGGAAGAUUUACAAUCUAAGUUGAGAUGUUGGAAGGAAGGUGGGAGAAAGGGAGGAAUAGGCAGGGACAGAUUUGGGGGCUCAGAGCCCGUGAGCAGCACAGCCAGGGGAGCCUCAGAGGCUGUGACCCUGCUGGAACUGCCUGACUUGAAUAAGGAGCUUUUUAGCCUUGUGAGGCAGGGUUGGUUGGUGUCUUUGGGGUGUUUGGUGGAGCAAGGAGUCUGUCAAGGAAUGGAGAAGCCUGGAAACUCCUCAGGGACCCUCCUCACCUUUGGUCCUUCCACAGCUCUGCCAGGCACGUUGGAAAUUUGUCUUUCCCACAAGGAAUGGCUUUGGGCUCAGUAAGAAGGACUCACUGUUUGCAGGCUCAGUGUUAUUUCCCACAGCACACUGUUGCUUUUGAAUGGCAUGCCAGGAUCUGGGAAGGAAGGAGGAGAGGGGGGGAAUCCUUCACCCUCAUGAGUCAAAACCCCACCCCACCUCCUGGAGUGCUUCUCAUUCUGCCAAUGGUCUCUGUUGGACUGUUCUUGUUCAGAAGUUGGUCCUGGAAGUCUGAGAAAGAGGAGAAGAAAUCCUCUCCAGCUGUUUGUGUUAGAAUGGGAUAGGAGGGUGAUGUCUCCUGCCACCCUGCUGCCUUUCUCUCUGAGUUUGUAAGGUUCAUAACAUCUGCUUUACCAGGCUCACCCAAGAAUGCAGGAUUUGAGAUCUUCUGAAAAUCCCAUUUGUGUUCUGCUUGUGCCAUGGGCAAACCAGAAUCCUCUGGUAGACCUCUGCCUCUGGUAUGGUUUAGCAGAGGGGCUGUGUAUAGCAGACAUUAGUUGGGCCACAGAAAAAUAAGGAUUUGACCUGUACUGGGUGUGCUGCAGUGGCUCUCGUGAAUCUGGAAAAGAAGGAAUGAUGAAGAAAAGAAAAAAUGAUAGAAAAUGGGCACUUGGAGACCUGGAAACCACCGUGGCAUUGGCCUCUUGUCAUAACACAGGUUCUUUUCUCUUAGACUGACUCCUGCUUCCUAGAGAGAGCAGCAGGCAGAGGAUCCUGGCAUAUAUCCAUGUCUGGGCACAUGGAUUCUGUGUGAAGACAGCUGGAAGGCUGGGACAGAUGUACCUGUCUGCUCUGCUCUGUGGUGCAGGUUGCAGUGAAUGCUCCCAGUGCUGGCUGCAGCAGUGCAGCUGCAGGGGGGCAGGAGAGCAGCAGGGCUGUGGGGCAGGGCUGGGCUGGCAGCACAACCACCCCUGGCUCAGCGGCUGCCCAUCCCUUCCUGCCAAAAGGAGCUUUCUUAGCACCUUGUUCUCACACCUGUGCGCCUCUAUUCGACAGCCUGGAAAAUAAAUAACCUGCCAAGGUGGGAAAAUGAAUACCC